UUCUCUCAGGAUCCGGGGAGCCGAGCUCGGUCUCAGUCUCCCUGCUGUCAGGUGCCAGGUUGUGUCUGGUGGCUCUCCUUCGUAUGCGGAGCUGAUGGUUUUGCAUCAGCGCUUUUGCCAGUAGAGCCGACUAGCGUUUUCUCAGUUACGGCACCGUUCUUAGCGCCCAGUGUGACGUUUCCCAUUCGCCAGGUCCUUAUGUUCUCUGUGCUGUCACUUUCUUGGUUCUCGCACCGCUAGUAUCUGCUAAAGAACUUCCUAAACCAUGUUUUACUGUGCAGAACGGUGAUUGCACGGAGCCGCUGUACGCACUAGUAAUUUCAUAGCACCGUUAGCUGGCGCUUUUUCUGUCACAACACAUUAAAACGGGUUAAAAUACUGCAAGCGGAUUAAACACAUUAAGAGGAUUAAAACAUUAAAAUGUCUCAACACAUUUUUCUGACACAACACAUUUAAACGGAGUGGGUUCAUUCCUCCGAAGAGGAUGUUUAGGCGUGGAAGCACCGCUGUUUCCCAAGAGCACGGUUUCUCUCUGGCAGCACCACUUAUGGCACCAAAACAGGUAUUUUUUGGCAACACCAGCACUAUUCGCUAGGUGCCGGCGCUUGCUGAGUCCCAGCGCCGCCAGUUUCUCUUUCGGUCGUUAAGUAGCUCAGAGCCCUAGCGGACAGUUUUCAGGUGGCAGUAAUGCUCAUUUCCUGGAACAGAUGGUUCGUGGCCCUUGAAGCGCUGCGAUCUGUAAAGCUAGUUCUCUGCAAGGGCUUUGACUCCUGAGUCUAAAAAGGUCACUAACUCCCGCUAAAUUGAGAGCAAUUGAAGCCUCAUCUUCAGAUCUAGGAGAAGAUGAAAAUCAGAAUAAGCUGCAGUCAUGAGACAUGGCGCCAGAAAUUAAGACUAUUCAAACCCUCUAGUCCCAGGGACUAUUGAAGAAGAAGUGGGUGUGUAAGCUUAUAAGGUCUAGAUCUGUCACCCAGGCUGGAGUACAGUGGCAU
RNAcentral lists this long non-coding RNA (992 nucleotides) under Homo sapiens (human). Its description in RNAcentral is "HSALNT0326321". The record is from RNAcentral. Lineage: Eukaryota; Metazoa; Chordata; Mammalia; Primates; Hominidae.